Molecule: long non-coding RNA, 121 nt
Organism: Sander lucioperca (pikeperch)
Lineage: Eukaryota; Metazoa; Chordata; Actinopteri; Perciformes; Percidae
Exons: 3
Source: RefSeq, a predicted model, not a curated record
AUCACUGUAGUAGUGUCUAUCUGUGUGUGCUUAUGUGAUGUUGAUGCGUGCUAAUGUGUGUCUAUGCACUUUUACCUGUGUCUACUGUGUAUGAUACUUGUGUUAUGUUGUUCUCAUGUCA